AUUUAUUUAGUAUAUAAGUACAUUUGACUUCCAAUCAAAAAGAUUGAUAAACUCAAAAUAAAUA
Molecule: transfer RNA, 64 nt
Filed under: Ruspolia lineosa
Lineage: Eukaryota; Metazoa; Arthropoda; Insecta; Orthoptera; Tettigoniidae
Description: tRNA-Gly
Rfam family: tRNA
About the family: Transfer RNA (tRNA) molecules are approximately 80 nucleotides in length. Their secondary structure includes four short double-helical elements and three loops (D, anti-codon, and T loops). Further hydrogen bonds mediate the characteristic L-shaped molecular structure. tRNAs have two regions of fundamental functional importance: the anti-codon, which is responsible for specific mRNA codon recognition, and the 3' end, to which the tRNAs corresponding amino acid is attached (by aminoacyl-tRNA synthetases). tRNAs cope with the degeneracy of the genetic code in two manners: having more than one tRNA (with a specific anti-codon) for a particular amino acid; and 'wobble' base-pairing, i.e. permitting non-standard base-pairing at the 3rd anti-codon position.
Source: RNAcentral